AAUCAACGCUGGCGGCGUGCCUCAGACAUGCAAGUCGAACGCGAAAUUUCCCUUCGGGGAGAAAGUAGAGUGGCGCACGGGUGAGUAACACGUAGGUAAUUUGCCUUUGGGUGGGGAAUAACUCAGGGAAACUUGAGCUAAUACCGCAUAAUGCAGCGGCUCGACAUCGAGACAGUUGUUAAAGCGGGGGAUCGCAAGACCUCGCACCUAAAGAGAAGCCUGCGGCAGAUUAGCUAGUUGGUAAGGUAAUGGCUUACCAAGGCUGCGAUCUGUAACCGGCCUGAGAGGGCGGUCGGUCACACU
Molecule: ribosomal RNA, 303 nt
Filed under: uncultured bacterium
Lineage: Bacteria
Description: bacterial SSU rRNA
Rfam family: Bacterial small subunit ribosomal RNA
Source: RNAcentral